UUUUUACUUUAUCAUUAAUUUUCAUUAAUUAUUUUUAUUUUGAGGUUUUGUUCGCACUUAGCGAGUUUAUAGUGCUAGAGUGAUAAAAAAUAAUUUACAUAACGAUAUAUAUAUAUAUAUAUGUAGUAAUGUGCAUGUUUACCUAAAAUAAAAGCUUUUUGUGCAUAUAAGUACUUAUAUAUACAUGCGUUAUCAUAUAAUCGUUUUAUGUACUGCUUGUAAAGUGAUAAUUAUACUUUGGAUGGGAAGGUAGUCUUUAUAUAUAUAUAUAUAUAACGUUUUAACUUAUCAAAAAAAAAAAAAAAAAAAAAAAAAAAAUUUAAGAAAAAAAAAAAAACGAAUAAGAUGUUUUUAUUUAGAAAAAACAAAAACACUGAUGCCACUGAUGCGAGAGCUGCUUUUAUACAAAAUUCCAAACAAGUUAAAAAUAAUAAGACGAGAAAGUAUGAAUUGGAGGUAAGUAACAAUGAGAGCACAUUUGGUGAUUCUUCAUUAGCAACAGAAAACACAUAUUAUGAAAGUGAGUUAGAUGAAAGUGAAUUAUAUGAGAGUGAAUUAAAUGCAAGUGAAUUAAAUGCAAGUGAAUUAAAUGCAAGUGAAUUAAAUGGAAGUGAAUUAGAUGAAAGUGGAAACAGUUUUUUAGAUGGAAGUUUUGUAAGUGAAAGGGAUGAGCUUGUAACAAAAAACGAAAUUAGAGGUGCCACCCCAAAAGAAAAUGUUAACAAUUCUUUUACUAGUANNNNNNNNNNNNNNNNNNNNNNNNNNNNNNNNNNNNNNNNNNNNNNNNNNNNNNNNNNNNNNNNNNNNNNNNNNNNNNNNNNNNNNNNNNNNNNNNNNNNUAAAAAUUAUAAUGAUAAUGUAAAAAAUACAUCUUCUAAAAAUACAAAUAAUAUAAAUCAUAUACAUAGCAAGCAAAAUGUUGAGGUUCAAAAUGAUAUAACGAUAUUGAAUAAUAAAUACUGUAACCAGAGUAAAUCAUUUUUAAACAAUUCGAACAAACUCGGAGAAAAACGAUAUAACUUAUCAUCGAAUGAAAAUAAACCAGAUGAAAAGUCAAAAGGAGAAGAAGUACUUGAAAAUUGUAAUUAUGACACCGAUAAAAAAAAAAAGACAAAUGAAGUUGAUACUAGACAGUAUGGUACUAGUCAAUAUGGUACUAGUCAAUAUGGUACUAGUCAAUAUGGUACUAGUCAGUAUGGUACUAGACAAAAUAGUAGUAGUCAGUUAAGUGGCAGUAGCCAGUUAAAUGGUGGUAGCCAGUUAAAUGGUGGUAGCCAGUUAAAUGGUGGUAGCCAGUUAAGUUGUGGUAGCCAGUUAAAUGGUAAUAGCCGGUUAAGUGGUAAUCGAAAUGAUAACAUGGAUGAUAGCUUAAGUAAUAGCAUGUGUGUCGAUUUAAGUAAUAGUAUUUGUGGCAGCGUAAGUAACAGUAUUAAUGAGAGUUUCAGUAGUAGUAUUGGUGAUAAUCUUUCUAAUAGUACUAGUAAUAGUAUUAAUAAUGUUAAUAACAACGCCAAUGAUAAACAUAAUUCCAUAAAUAUGUGUCCUACAUUUAAAUCAAAUGCUAAUAAAAUAGUUAGUUUUACAAAUCAUAGUGAUAAUUUGGAGUCAAAAAGUAAAAAUGACACUAAUAUAUAUAACGACAGUCCAUCAAUAAAAAAUGCUAAAAAAGAAGAUGUAGAAAAAAAUAAAACGGAAAAAUAUAAGCAUGCAAAUUCUAUAGAUGUGAAUAAAACAAUAAGUGAAACAGAAUCUUGCGUAAAAAAAAAUAACGAAGCAACAUAUUACAAUAAUAAUGGUACAAAGAAUGAAAAAAAAUUAACUAACGAAAUGUUAGAAAGUAAAGCAAAUAUUUUGAAGUCAUCUGAUAAAUAUAAUUAUGAAAAACCAACUAACAAUAUGAAUAGUAAAAUGGAUAGUAAAAUGAAUAGUAAAAACCUUUUAGACAGUAAAAACAGAAAUCAACAUCAAAUAAAUAGUAAUAUAAAUAAUUACAAUUUAAAUGAUAGUGGUAUAACAAAUAAAAGUAGUUUAACAACCCAUGAAAGUGGAAGAGAAGGUAAGCAAAAUAGACAAGCAACAAGUAAUAAUGAAAAUAAACCAAAUCGACAAAAUCAGGUAAGUCAAUCAAACCAGGUACUUAGAGAGGAAGGUACUAAUAAACCUGAAAAAAAUUUUACUUUCAAUCAAUCAAACAAAAGUCAUAUAAAAUAUAAUGAGAAUUAUGCAAAAGAAAAUAAUAAAAGCUUAACACAUAGAAGUAAUUCAAUAAGACACUCAAAAAGUGACAUAAACAAAAUUAAUGAUAUGGAUAACUCAGCUAAUCAUAUGACAGCAUCAAUUGAUAGCUUUGCAUCAGAAUUUUCAAACAAAAUAAACCAACUAAAUAAUAGCAUACUAAAAGAAAAUGAAAGUUUAAUGGGUUCACAAUCUAGCUUAGAUGUAUCUAUAUACAGCAUUUCAGAAUCAAAAAAUCAAACAGAUUUAAUGAAAAGCUCAUUAAUAUAUAAAGGUAUUCAAAAAACAUCAUCUUAUAAUUUAGAAGAAUCGGUUACAAAUAAAAUGAGUACAAAUAGUGUCACUCUCAGUGACAGAAACAAAUUCUCGAACAAUAAAAGCAACUUACAAAUUAAUUCGAACAACAACAAUAUAAAUAAAAAUAACAUGAACGAGUCAUGUAAUAAUAAGUUAGGCAAAUCAAAAAAAUAUUUAACAGCAUCGGAAUAUAAUAGUAGCAAUUCUAAAACUUUAAAUAACGUAUCAACACAUAGUUUAAACAAUUUAAAAUAUUCCAACACUAAGUCAAAACAUGACAUGUUAAAGUUGAGUAGUAAUAGUAUGAGUUAUAAGAAUAAUCAUGAUUCGAGAAGUCAUGUUUUAAAAUCCACAAAUUAUAUAACAGAUACAAACAAAUUAACAGAAUUGAGUUUGAGAAGCUCGAAAAAUAAUUACACUAAUGAAACAUCAGUCAAUUUAGUUACAUCAGUAUAUGAUAAUAAACAAAAUGCAAACAGAAAUUCUGCAUCAAAUGAAUAUGUUUUAUCUAACGAAAAUAAAAACAACUAUAACUUAAAUCAAAGUGAAAAGAUAUACAAAAAAAAAAAUAUUAAUCACCACGAACCAUUUAUUACAUCUAUAAAUAAUGAAGAAGAACAAAAUAUAAAUAUGAAUUUGUUACAACAAUCUAUAAAAAAUAUACAAGAGCAAUUGAAACAUAAAAUGUUAGAAAGUACUGGUACAUUUUCGAGUACUAAAAGUAAAAAGUACAAUACGCAAGGUACUAAUCAGAGUUUUGAAAAUGGUACUAGUACGAGUGGACUUACGAAUAUUGAAUCGAAGCAUAGUCGCAAUGGUAUGGGAAAUAAUAGUAUAAGCAAUGGUAUGGGAAAUAAUNNNNNNNNNNUAGUAUAAGCAAUGGUAUGGGAAAUAAUAGUAUAAGCAAUGGUAUGGAAAAUAAUAGUAUAAGCAAUGGUAUAGGAAAUAAUAGUAUAAGCAAUGGUAUGAGAAAUAGUACAAGCAAUGGUGUGCGGAAUAGUACAAUCAAUAGUAUGGCCAAUAGUAUACCCGAAUCAACUUAUUCAUAUAACCACGAAAACCCAAAUAAUUCAAACUUGUUUUAUGAUUUAUCAAAAUCAAAUACAUGUUCUCAAAAUUAUAUGAAUAGUUAUAAUUCCAAUACAUCUAACAAUAUGCAUAUAAGUACUUUGAAUUUGUCUAACUGUAGUGGAAACCCAAACGAAUUAACAGAAAAUGGCAACUUUCAGUCUAACAAUGGGAUUACAAAAUUAUUAAUGAAAGAACAAUUUGUUAAUGUCGAUUUGCAUAUAUCGUAUACAGAAAAUGAAAUACAAAAUAAGAUAAAAGACUUUGACAAGUACAUAAGUCAAGCUUUUGAAAGUAAAUGUGAUAGAGUCUUAAACAAAAUUGAGAACUUGCUUGCUUGCUUGUAGUUUUUUUAAAGACUAGCAAAAGGGUGGGGUUAGCUAAACAUAUAAGUAUGCGUAUAUGCAAAAAAACAAAAAAACAAAAAAACAAAAAAACAAAAAAAACAAAAAAAAAAACAAAAAAAAACAAAUGGAGAAGUAAAAAAAAAAAAAAAAAUUAUUUUUUUUUUUAAUGCAGUUUAUUUUUACACUCAUUAAAUGUGUGCAUAUAUCUAUGUACAUAUCUCUGUAGAAGCAUAUGCAUUUUACCAUUUGUAAAUAAACAAUUUUCUUUUCUAAUAAAUAACUGUCUU
This is a long non-coding RNA of Piliocolobus tephrosceles (Ugandan red Colobus), 4234 nucleotides long. The record is from Ensembl. NCBI's taxonomy places the organism in Eukaryota, Metazoa, Chordata, Mammalia, Primates, Cercopithecidae.